This 373-nucleotide small RNA is filed under the name Pongo abelii (Sumatran orangutan). Its description in RNAcentral is "retained intron". The record is from RNAcentral. Lineage: Eukaryota; Metazoa; Chordata; Mammalia; Primates; Hominidae.
GACCUCUUCCCUCUGAGCCUUCUGGUGUCCAACUCUCCCCUUCUCUAGGACCAUGCAGUGCUGGAGGCUGAGAGGCAGAAGAUGUCAGCCCUUGUGCGAGGGCUGCAGAGGGAGCUGGAGGAGACUUCAGAGGAGACAGGGCAUUGGCAGAGUAUGUUCCAGAAGAACAAGGAGGAUCUUAGAGCCACCAAGCAGGAACUCCUGCAGCUGCGAAUGGAGAAGGAGGAGAUGGAAGAGGAGCUUGGAGAGAAGAUAGAGGUCUUGCAGAGGGAAUUAGAGCAGGCCCGAGCUAGUGCUGGAGAUACUCGCCAGGUUGAGGUGCUCAAGAAGGAGCUGCUCCAGACACAGAAGGAGCUUAAGGAACUGCAGGCAG